GUCGGUAUCGAUUAGGGGUUAAAUCACCUCGUUGUGGUGUAUUGUAUCCUGUAGCCGUAACGUUACUCCGAGGAGCCACUGGUUCGAUUCCAGUUACCGACA
Non-coding RNA from Hymenopellis radicata, 102 nucleotides. The record is from the annotation of a GenBank genome assembly. Lineage: Eukaryota; Fungi; Basidiomycota; Agaricomycetes; Agaricales; Physalacriaceae.